RNAcentral lists this unclassified non-coding RNA (368 nucleotides) under soil metagenome. Its description in RNAcentral is "partial contains 5.8S ribosomal RNA, internal transcribed spacer 2, and large subunit ribosomal RNA". The stretch from base 1 to 120 matches the Rfam family "5.8S ribosomal RNA", at positions 35 to 154 of the family's 154-position model. The record is from RNAcentral.
GAUGAAGAACGUAGCGAAAUGCGAUAAGUAAUGUGAAUUGCAGAAUUCAGUGAACCAUCGAAUCUUUGAACGCACAUUGCGCCCGGCAGUAAUCUGCCGGGCAUGCCUGUCCGAGCGUCAUUUCUGCCCUCGAGCGAGUCCAGCAUCUAGGUGCUGGGCCCGCCCGGCGUUGGGGCACUACGGGAAGCCCUGUGCUGUCCCCCGUAGGCCCCGAAAUGAAGUGGCGGUCCUGCCGCGGCGCCCCCUGCGUAGUAUAACAGCUCGCUUCGGGACCCGGUGGAGGCCUGCCGUCAAACCUUACUCUCUAAGUUUGACCUCGGAUCAGGUAGGGUUACCCGCUGAACUUAAGCAUAUCAAUAAGCGGAGGA